UACGUAGGGUGCAAGCGUUGUCCGGAAUUAUUGGGCGUAAAGAGCUCGUAGGUGGCCUGUCGCGUCGGCUGUGAAAACUCGGGGCUCAACUCCGAGCUUGCAGUCGAUACGGGCAGGCUAGAGUUCGGCAGGGGAGACUGGAAUUCCUGGUGGUAGCGGUGAAAUGCGCAGAUAUCAGGAGGAACACCGGUGGCGAAGGCGGGUCUCUGGGCCGAUACUGACACUGAGGAGCGAAAGCGUGGGGAGCGAACAGG
This 254-nucleotide ribosomal RNA is filed under the name uncultured bacterium. Its description in RNAcentral is "partial 16S ribosomal RNA". It matches the Rfam family "Bacterial small subunit ribosomal RNA", at positions 524 to 776 of the family's 1533-position model. The record is from RNAcentral.